GUGAAAUUGUUGAAAGGGAAACGAUUGAAGCCAGUCGUACCUAUGGGUAAUCAGCCUUUUGGGUGUGAUUAUGUGGAGCGUGAGGAGCUAAACACCCUCAUCUUUGCAUAUUCGUGCACUUUGGUUGUACUUGCUCGUGUGGUAGGUUAACAUCAAUUUUGAUCGUCAUAAAAUGGCUAGAGGAAUGUGGCUUCGAUCUCGUAUUGAAGUGUUAUAGCCUUUGGUAGAUGUGAUGAUUAGGAUUGAGGAUUGCAACGGAUACCCUUCGGGGCUACCUGUCUGAUCUCUGAUCGUUGCUUUGGUGCCGAAAGCUUGCUUACGGUAAUCAAAGUCGAUGGUCAAUAGGUUAGAACGGGUUAAAUUCGUUAAGGAUGUUGACGUAAUGGCUUUAAACGAC
This 397-nucleotide ribosomal RNA is filed under the name uncultured Rhizophagus. RNAcentral's name for it is "eukaryotic LSU rRNA". Lineage: Eukaryota; Fungi; Glomeromycota; Glomeromycetes; Glomerales; Glomeraceae. The record is from RNAcentral.